AGGAGGGUAGACUGUGGAGAAGGGGCUAGUCUACAAAACUAGAUUAUUAUAGAUAAGAGGAGGGGAGACUGUGGAGACGGGGCUAGUCUACAAAACUAGAUUAUUAUAGAUAAGAGGAGGGGAGACUGUGGAGACGGGGCUAGUCUACAAAACUAGAUUAUUAUAGAUAAGAGGAGGGGAGACUGUGGAGAAGGGGCUAGUCUACAAAACUAGAUUAUUAUAGAUAAGAGGAGGGUAGACUGUGCAGGUAGGCUAGUCUACAAAACUAGAUUAUUAUAGAUAAGAGGAGGGUAGACUGUGGAGAAGGGGCUAGUCUACAAAACUAGAUUAUUAUAGAUAAGAGGAGGG
Molecule: long non-coding RNA, 348 nt
Organism: Oncorhynchus tshawytscha (Chinook salmon)
Lineage: Eukaryota; Metazoa; Chordata; Actinopteri; Salmoniformes; Salmonidae
Source: Ensembl